Triticum aestivum (bread wheat) is the source of this 560-nucleotide long non-coding RNA. RefSeq lists it as uncharacterized. NCBI's taxonomy places the organism in Eukaryota, Viridiplantae, Streptophyta, Magnoliopsida, Poales, Poaceae. The record is from RefSeq and is a predicted model, not a curated record. The transcript has 4 exons.
CUGCUCUCCAGUUCUUUGCGCACCACACUCUGACCCGUGCCGCCAACCGCCUGAUUGGCACAGCACGGCGGCAUCCCAGAGCUUCCGUCGACUGACCGGCGAUCGAUCGCAUACUGCUAGGUUGUGGGUUGGCAAAGCGUGAAGAAAUCAGGGGCGAUAAUUGAUUCAAUUUAAAGACACAACCCGAAUUCAGCUUUUGAAGACAACAGGGGCUCGGUUUUGUUCUCGUAUUGCCCAACAGGCUGCAGUGCAGAAGUAGUACAAGACUAAGCGUAACACAUGAAGAGGAAGAAUAUGGGUUCUACUGAUUUCAGAAGCCUCGCAGAGUUGUCUAUGAUGCCUGUUAAAACAGGGAGGGCUCUGCCGUAUGAGAUUCUUUACAAACUUCGCAAAUUGGUGCUAGUUCUUGCUGUUGCAACAGCCGGUGUUGAGAGGGUCUUUUCAUCAAUAAACUAUAUAAAAAAACAGCUAAGAAGCAAGAGGGGGCAGGAAUACUUGAAUGAUUGUUUGGCCACAUGCAUUGAAAGGGAAUUCUUCUUGCACGUUAAGGAUAAGGACAU